RNAcentral lists this transfer RNA (56 nucleotides) under Monoraphidium neglectum. It matches the Rfam family "tRNA", at positions 8 to 63 of the family's 71-position model. Rfam says of the family: Transfer RNA (tRNA) molecules are approximately 80 nucleotides in length. The record is from Rfam by way of RNAcentral. Lineage: Eukaryota; Viridiplantae; Chlorophyta; Chlorophyceae; Sphaeropleales; Selenastraceae.
UAGCUUAAUGGGAGAGCUAUGGAUUCAUAACCCAUCGACGAAGGUUCGAUUCCUUC